This 26-nucleotide non-coding RNA is filed under the name Mus musculus (house mouse). Lineage: Eukaryota; Metazoa; Chordata; Mammalia; Rodentia; Muridae. The record is from RNAcentral.
UCAGAAUUCAGGCAGUUGCCGCCAGU